GACAUUAAGGUCAAAGGAAAAAAAAAACAGAAAAUAAUGUAAUCCUACAGAGCUGCUCUUAAGAUCUUGAGAGAAAAACCACGUAGGUAACAUCAAACACUAGUUGGAAUCUUUCCAAGAAGUAAUUAUCUGUGUGCUGUUUGUGGUGGUUGAUUAUGGGAACAAACCAAGGUUUAGCCAAUUCAGCAAACAUUUAUGGAGUGCCUGCAAUGUGCAUGUCACUGUUUUAAGGCCUGUGCCUACUGUAAAGGUGACCCACACAUGAUGCCUGCCUUGCAGGACUUGGAGUUCAGCGAUAAUAAGAGAUGCAUACCUGAAAAGCCUAUUUAAGACUCUUCCGGUUCUACAAAGAAGGCUUCUUGAAAGUGGUAGCUUUGAUUACUCUUUGGAUUUAUUUACAUUUAUCCUAUAAUCAGAAGGUAUACAAAACAGACUCACACAUAUAUAAAAUUAAUAGAUUAGAUAGCAUUUAAACAAAUAUUUCAGGUAGGUACUUCAAAUGCAUUUGACAUUUAUCAAAGAAAUGGUAAGUGCUGUCAUCCGUGGGUGGCUGGAUUAACAUGUGGGACUACUUAUCACCAAUUUUGUUAGGGAUCUUAGGGAAAUUCCUGGAUCUUAUAUUCACAAGCAAUUGUAUAAAUACUUCCCACAGCUCAGAGACCUAAUAGGAUGGGGUCUUAGAGAAACAUCUUUUGAGCCACAGACUUCUUUGUUACCAGAAGGAAAAUGAAAGAAGAAAUUUAAAUACCACUUGAAGAGAGGUAAAUAAAUGAGAAAUGGGGCUGAGAGGGCGGGUAUUUUUUUAAAAAUUCAUUAAAUGGAAAAAUCCACAAAUGUUAAUUCUGGUAGAUUUCUUAGAAAUUACAUCAGAGGAGCAUGCUUGGUCUUCCCACCCUCAUUAGGCCUCAGUGACAGGUACUUGAACAACUGAGCCCCUAAUGUGCAUGCUCCCCCACCCCUGAAGCCAGUCUCUGCCCUCCUCUUCCCUCCUCUUGCCCCUGGAAGCUGAUCGCCACCAACUGGCCUCUGGGUGGAUUUGGCCAAUGGAAGCACCUGUAGAGGGAAGAGAGUGAGGUUAGGAUAUUUCUUCCUGCUGUCUCCGUGCUUCCCUGCAGAGAGUGUGAAGAAAUGACCCUGAAAAGCCUCUGGCAGAGGAUUCUUCUUUCAGGAUGGUGUCGCCUCCUCAGCAGCCCAUCCUCCUCCCCUGGACUCAAGCUCUCAUUCCAGUAACACUCCUUCCUCCUUCUCCAUCUUCAGGGGGAGGUUUGCCAGUCGGUGCUGCCCAGUUCAUGAGUGCUGCUGCUGUCCUGCCCAAGUACCCAGCUUGCAGAGUGCCAGAGUUAGAGUCCCAGGGGUGUUCUCCACAGCUGCAUGCUUGAUCCAGGCCUAUCAGAUAUAUUCCAUUGAAAGUCCUCAUUCUCAAAUUUAAAACAAAGACUUUUUGUGUACCUCAAUAGCAAUGCACACACAGUUGGCUUCACAAACAUAUUGUACAUUUCUUUUUUUCAUAUUUAUUCAACAAAUGUAUAUUGACUACCCACCGUGUGACAGGUGUUAUUUGUUGACGGAACCAGGCAUCAUCAGCAAACAAAACUGACAAAGCUUCCUGCCCUCUGUGGAAGGCAUCUGAGGAAGAGACUGGAUUUUGUAGCAACAUGUUAUUCUCAUUAUAAACUUUAUCAUUGGAAUACUAAAGCCAAAUCAUCCCCCAUCUCCUUGAUCAGGAUACCCACUUAAUCUAGGCAGCUACACAAUUGUGAGAGCCUUUGUUUUUUUCUGCUGAAACAUCCUUAAAAAGAUACCUCACAACCCAAGAUUUGGCUUUUCUUAAAUACGAUUUUUAAUUUUUUUCAUUUCUAUCUAGAGAUUUAAUUGGAAAUGGAAAAUCAUCAAUUUUCCAAUUAAAUGUCUGUUCCAAUCAACAUUAUACCUUUUAGGUUGUCAUUGUCAUUUUUAAGUUUAAGCAACUUUAAGGAUUUUGAAUCUGGCUGCCUGUAAAUUAAAGGUGAAAGUAAUCAUUGUGUUGGAUUGGAACAUUUUGUCAAUUGAGAGUGGUUUCCUUGUUCUUAGUGUAUGAAAAGUUUAUUUUUCUAAUGUAGAUUAAUAAAGGAGAUAAAGAAAAACAAAAUGAGUGAUUUAUGUGUGUGAGAAAAGAACCAUUUCCUCAAGGAUUAAAUAAAAUUCAUACCUUUUGUUUCUUUUGAAAAGUUUUUAAAAUAAAUUUUAAUGAAUGUGUCCUUUAAAUAUUCCUUUAAAAAUGUAUCCUAUUUUAAAAUGGACUCUCUGAGAGAAGGAAUUGAUACCUGUGUUUAAAAUCAAAAAUAGCAUGCAUAGAGACUGUUUUUCUAGUUGGUUGAAGCUUUUUUCCCUCUCCUUUACAUCAGUGAACCAGCAUCUUGCCCUUCAGACCCUACAGCACACUCUUGGGCUCAUGAAGUGUAUGACACAUCCUCCUUGGGGGAUCGGCCAUGUCCUCGCUCUCAUGACCACAUGAAUUCUUCUGUAUGUCUUUUCUCACAGCUGAGUACUCUCUUCCUGACCCCCUUGUGGAAUGGGGAAAGGAGGCUGUGACAUUGUGCUUGUGCAAACAAUAAUUGAGAGCUUUCCGAGUCUCCUGCAUCUUCAUAAAUGAUUUUUUGUUUUAUGCUGGGACAGUAGUUCUUUAAAUAGAAUAUUCUCCCAUGGAAAUCGCCCACAAUGCUGAGAGUACACCUUGCAAAAGGUAAGUCUAGAAUAUAGGGUGCCUCCUCAGCAUUGCCCAGAAGCUGAAGUUAGGACUCUCUAGAAUACCAAAAACAAAUUUAUAGCAGUUCAUUAAUGUAAGGAAUUAUGAAAACUGUGUGCCACCAUUAUCCAUAGAUGAAACAAGAGCCACCACGCAAGCACAGACACAAAGCCCUGAAGAUGAAGCCAUUGACAGGGCUCUCAUUUAUUCUGUAGAAACCCACUUGCCUGUUUUUGAACCAGUUUUCUUUGGAGCAUAUGUCUCACUGUGCAACCAAAGUGGUGUUUAUAUCCUAGUCACUUGGCAAAAAUUCUGUCAUUGCUUCAGGGAGAUCCAUUUUAGGCCUGAAGCAUGGAGCUGGUAAUAGAUGGGAUUUGGUACUUCUGAAGAAAAGACCCUACUGCAAAUUUAGAGAGUUAAUUUUUUCUUUUGUUCCCCAUAAUAUUGUUGCUAGAUAGAACUACCUUUUUUGACUAGAAGUUAAAUAUAGAGGCCUAAAUCAAUUAGGUAACUCCCACUCAUUCUAAAUGAGAACAUGUUUGUUUUUCUCCAACGAGAUGAGAAAUAUUUGAGGCGCUUCCUGAUAUCUCUAUCACCCACUGCAUUUUUUCACUUGAUGUAUAUUUCCCCAUGUAUUUGGGAUAAUUUUCAAAUAAUUGCCCUUUAGAAAUCUACUUGAUAUUAAAUGUAAAAAAAAAGCAAGAUGCAAAAUUAUUAUAGGAUGCAUUUACAGAAAUUACAAAAUUUCUAUAAACUAUUUAUGGAGGAAGACUUAUAGAGUAUAUGUCAACACAUUGCUUUAUUAUUGUCCUUGGUUAUGAGUAUGGUUUUUUUGAAACCUGCUUUGUACUUUGGGUGUUUUCUCACCAUUGGUACAAUUGAGGCAUUUUUCCCUCUUCUUCAACCUUGCAAAUCACACGUGAGGAUGCUCAUAGAAGUGCCUCUCAGACAGGCUGUUGUUUUGCUUUCACCAAUAAAUCAUUUAUAAUUAGAAGUAGAAAACUAUUCUUUCCAGUGCAAAUACAUCCCUUUCAAAAGCAGUUCUCUUUUUGUGAAUGAUGUCUAGUGUCUAAGAAACGAGGGUAACCUUUAUUAUAUGCAUUGCUCUAAUCGAAGCAUUGUUUUUUGCGGUGAACUCAAGGUUACAUGUUUAAGAAAAGCAUCGGGUUAAUUCCAUUAGGAAAAGUGUCUUAUUCAUAAACCUUUAGCCACUGGAAAAACACCAUUAGGAGGCCACACAAGUGUGUAUAGCUGGAUAGAAUUUGACAACUGGCAAAACAAAACAAUAGCCUACAAUUGCAGAGUGCUGUCUGUUUAAAAACCAACAUAUCUUUCACCAACAAAUACAUAUUCACCUCAACACGAGACUUUCAUGUGGUUAUUAAUAUCAAAUUUUUGAAUGUCCAAAUUUUGGAGUGUAGUCUAGCAGAGGUAAACUGAUUUGCCUAAGGUCCUUCAACUGUCAGAGGUAGAAUUAUUUUCUCUCUCCUGGCUCUAAAACCUGUCCAGAUUCUCCUGCAACACUGUCCUUCAAAAACACACUUCCGCUGACUCCAGUGCUGGUGAUGUCAUGCUUUAGCUAGUAGUUAGAGGUGACUUAACUUUAAAUAUGGAAUCUUUUUUUCCUAUUAAGCAAUGAGGUUUAGUUUGAAAAUUCUUAGAGAUGAUAAACCCCUCUCCUUUUUUUCUUCCUUCUCCUCUUUUGUCCUGAACAAUGUUCCAUAUAUAUUACUGCCAGAAACAGAUUCUUGACAUUCCUGUUAUGCUUUUCCACAUCUUGUAAUCAUUUCUACAGCUGUUAGCAUUGCCAACAAUUAUAUUUCCACUUUUAAAAAAUUGUUACAAAGAUGCAGAGAGAAAAGAGGAAAGCCAAGGAAUAAACUACAGGCAAUUAUGGGAUAUUUUUGUGAUGUGACAUUUUGGGAACUGAGGCAGCAUCACUGAUACUGCACUACUUUUUAAUAUCUAGAUUUUAAUCUUUUGUAUGAAGAUAAAAUUCACAUGCCUUAAACCUGACCACAACAUAAUAGGGCAUUUAUUUUUCUAAUUUUGAUACCAUCCACAUUUCUUAACUAUAAGAAGAAUGCUUAUGUUGUACCAGGUUAUAUGAUGUUGCCAAGAAGUAGAUGUGUACCAUUUACUAAUACAUCCUUUUGGAAAAUGCGUAUUAAUAACAUAUUAAGGAGUAAAUUGACGUUGUGCAAAGUGAGCCUGUGAGUUUAAAUGUAUGGAUUGUACACCUUGCUCUUCCUAAUUGCAGAUUUAACAGGAUUUGAUGACCUAAUGAGUUUAUUUCUGAAUGAUUUAUAUUUCUUUGUCAGUUCAAUGAUUUAGUAUUUUAAAUUUUUUUAAAUCACAUUUUAUUGAGAUAAUGCUAUUAGUGUUUCUUUCCCAUCACUUAACAAAGUUAAGUCACUCCUCUCCCACCCCACUUUUGUACCUACCAAUGUUUUUUUCACAGUUACAGGCUGAUUGGCUUGACGUGUCUUAGGAUACCACCCAAAGAGAGCUUCAUUUUAUAAAUACCAAGCUCAUUUUCCUAAAUAUUUUCAAAAAGAUAGAUUUAUCCUCAUAUAGUAAAUUCAGAUUAAUAAUUUUGGAAAGGGUCAUGUGACCAUGGUAUUACAUGGCUGUGGAAGACCCUCCAAGAUCUUGUUUUGGGAUAGAAGGACUCAGACAUCCAAACUUUUAAAUUAAUGAACUUAUUAAAUUCUAAAACUUUGUAACAGUGUUAAUUUGAGAAGUAUAAUAUUUUGCUUAAGGUCUGUUUUGCUUUGCAAAAUGCAUCUCCUUCAUUUUCAUAUUAUGUUGGAAGCUUAGCAUGAAAGAACGUGCCUCAGAGGAAACCAUAGGUAAGCAUACUUUAACAAAAGUUAGUGUCAUCAUGUUUGUGUCUUUGCCUGUGGUUUUUUAAAUGUAUAAUGUUUAACGUUGAUUUGGCUAUCAAAUUACAUUUUCUUUUGUUAAAAAAUUCUGUAAAUUAGAAAUGUACUGAAUCAUUUAUUUAGCAGACUGAAGGUGGGUAAUGUUGGCUGAACAGGUUUAAGCCACAGUAAUUUGAAAAUGUAAAUACAUAAAAUAAUGUCAUUUCUCUUCCACUCAAUGUUUCUUCACCAAAUAAAGUCCAGCCUGCUCUGAAUUUGUUGCCAGUAGGAACAAUGUUACAGUGAAUCAUGGUUUAAUAUACCUUGAAAAUGGCACAUCUGUUCUGUGAUAGCUUACCAAUUUUAGCCUCUUUAUAAAAUACGAAGAGUUUGUCAACCAGAAUAAUCUAGAACCUGGCAAUUCAAAUACCAUUCAAAGCAAAUGUUUUAUCUAAUAACUGGAACUAAAUGUUAGGCCUCAUGACAGUUCAAUAUUUACUAAAUAAGUUUAAUAACAGGGUAAGCCCUCAGUAUCCAGAGCAGAGACAAGCACACCAUAUUUACACAUACAAAUUCUGCCUUUAGCCAUCUGAAAGGGCCCCGAACUAUUGCAGCAAGCAAAGAGUCUUUGCAUUGUCCUAAAAUCCAUACAAUACUUUAUAUUUUACACAUUUUAAUAGCUAGUUUAACAAAUAACAAGUACCAUGCUUAAUUCUCUGCAUGCAUUAUUUCAACUAAUUAUUGGAAUAAUCUUAUAAAGUGGGUACUUUCGUCUCAGCUUACAGGUGAGAAAACAAAAGUUAAAUAGAUCGCCCAGGGCUCUGCUGGAACGUGUUAAGCAGGGAUUUCAGCCUGUCCAGUCAGACCCCAGAAGUUGUGUUCUUAACCAUUAGCAACACAUCAUCCCAGGCAGGCCCUACAUGAGCCUCAUAACCAAUUUUAUGCUGGAUAGUAUUAUCCCUAUUUCACAGAUGGCAAAACUGAGGUCCAGAGACUUUAAGUGACCUACCCAAAAUUACAGUCAUGAGCAGAGGCACUGGAAUGUAGGGCCUUGACACUCUACCUCACGUGGUCCUCUUUCCUGUUUUGGGUAGUUCUCCACUACCACUACUCAUUUCUGAUGCUGGAAAGGCUGUGUUUUAUACAUUUCUGUUUCUGGCUUGGAACGAAACACUCUGGGUCUCUGCUUGAUCAGUGUCCCCUCUAAACUGCACCUCACUACAGUAGGGAUGGCAUAAGAUACUUCUUUACACAGCAUCUUUUUGUUCCCACCUCACCCCCAGAGCUGUAAUAGGUAGAGCCAGCCAAAUGUCAAAGGGAUGAUUUGUCUUGUCACCACUAGUUUCCCUUUUCUCUGCCUUGUAUGUAACAGGAAUAUUCUUUAGUUCCUCCUUAUGUUCUAAAGCACCUCCCCAACCUAAAAAUAGAAGAGGAGUUGUGGGUCAUUUACACUUUAGUGUGAAUUUGCCCUUGUGACUUUGCCAAGGCUGUUGUGCCUAACCCUUUCAAUCUAACAGCAGAAUGAGAGUCUCUGGACUAUCCUGGCUCCUUCCCUGAGAAGAAUGAACUGGGAAUUGUUGGUCUAGACAUCAAGACUACCAGAGACCUAUUGCUCAGAGAUGUUUGGGCUGUACAAUUUCUGUAGAUAUGGCAUCUGGAGCAGCCUUUUCUAAGCAAUGGCAUUAUCAUUCCAGGCUCUCUCGCUCUUUCCAUCUCUCCACCAGGUGGACUCUUGCCCUCCACCCCUUCCAAUUUGUCAGUGAUUCAGAGAACAUUCUCCAUCCUUCCAAUGAUUACAUUCCUUCAUCUUGCUGGGGCGCCAAUUCAGUGAUGGAGCGGCUCUUGGGAGCAGCCUUGGCUUAUAGUGCAGCUCUCUGCUACCUUCAACAGGCUGGUAUUCGGGGUGCUUAGAUGUGACUGGUUGUACGCACGUGUGUGUAUGUGCAUGUGUGUACAGCAGUAAGAGCUUUCGAGGUAGAUACUUGAGGAAGCCUCAGACAUCUAGCCCCAUUACUGGGGCAAUGUCUUACUUGGGUUUUUCCAGAAACAGACCUGGAGACCAGGAUUCAAGUGCCAGUGGUAUAUUUGGGAUGUGAACCCUGCAAUGCUGGUAGGAGAGUGGAGAAGUGAGGCAAGGAAAGGAAGGCCGUCAAGGGGCGUGUUAGGAGGUCAUUCACCACCGCAGGUAGCCCGCUGGGGACCUCUGGGAGCAAGUGUGGCGCACAAGCCUCAGCAUUACUGCCCUGUGCCUUGAGGAGUAAGGGAUAAGGAUUUUCCCCACCAGUUCCCUGUAGUCCUUGGUGAGAGCUUCUGGGGUGGAGGUUAAGGUCUUUAGGUCAGAGAAAUUUUCUUUAGUUUCGGAAAAAUCUUUCAGGCCGAGGUCCAGACACUCACUGGAACACACUGAAGUGGUUAGGUCCAAGGGCUGUAGGCAGAGCUCCCAUAUCCAUCUGCAGAGGUGUUUCAGGUGGAAGGAGUGGAGACAGCCUUCUCUGCUCCACACUGUCUUCAGCAAGGGUUUCUGUAUCUGUGCAUUGAGGAUUAAAUUAUUCACAUGGUCAGAGAAGCCCAUCACCACUGAUAGUUAUUGUAGGUAUGGAAAACUAACGACUAAGAAGGGAGAAAAAUAUACCAAGCAGUUGGCUUGGCUGAACACAAGUAAAGACUCUUACAGUCACUGGUGUGAACUGCUUAUUAUCAAUGUCUGAUUACAGUGCUGCAUACUAAUGAUUAUGCAUGUCAUUAAAUGUGUCAGAUUAACUUUGUUAUAAAAUUUAUGACAACAUUAAAUUUUAUUCACAUGCUCAGCCUUCAUAAUUUAUUGCUUAUGUAGCAUGGUUUUAACUUCAGAAAAACCUCCAAGACAGUGUUGUCUUGAUGACUACACUGCUUAUCCGUGAGUCUAGUUUUCCUGUUCAUUUGAAAUGUUCACAUUACAUUCAGCUCUGUCUCAAGCACUGAGACAGAGCUGGAAUCAGUGCCCAGCGAUUCCACUUGCCGAGUGAUUGA
Molecule: long non-coding RNA, 8598 nt
Filed under: Homo sapiens (human)
Lineage: Eukaryota; Metazoa; Chordata; Mammalia; Primates; Hominidae
Description: HSALNT0230662
Source: RNAcentral